GCCAGUGUGGCGUAGUGGUUUGAGUGUUGGACUAGGACACAGAGAUCAGGGUUCGAAUCCCGGCUGGGACA
This is a non-coding RNA of Phrynosoma platyrhinos (Desert horned lizard), 71 nucleotides long. The record is from the annotation of a GenBank genome assembly. Lineage: Eukaryota; Metazoa; Chordata; Lepidosauria; Squamata; Phrynosomatidae.